Long non-coding RNA from Chenopodium quinoa (quinoa), 2478 nucleotides. RefSeq lists it as uncharacterized. The record is from RefSeq and is a predicted model, not a curated record. Lineage: Eukaryota; Viridiplantae; Streptophyta; Magnoliopsida; Caryophyllales; Amaranthaceae. The transcript is spliced from 6 exons.
AAUUUUAGGGUUGUGGUAAUAUAGGGUUUGUCAUUGAAGCGCGCACGGCUACACCUCCACCACAACGGCCUCCUUGUCACGGCGGCACGGCCUCGAACAGUGGACUUGGUGUCUGGUCCAAGCAGUGCUCUUGCUCCUUGGAGAACGUGAGACUCAUGCUGGAGUUCCAACAACUGAGGUUGCUUUUGGACAAGACGAUAGGGUAGUACUUUAAAAAAAAAAAAAAAAAAAAUACAUACAGUAGGUGAUUGUGGUGAAGCUUGUGAGAACGAUAUAAUAACUUGUUUCCUAUAUAUAUGUUUUGAGCUGAUUUUGUAAUAAAUUUGUAGGCCAGUGGAAGUCCUGCGAGGAAAUCCAUUAUAUCUCACCGGAUAGCUUCCUUGGUUAGGUUUCGGGAGAAAAAAAAAGAGAGGUGUUUUGAUAACAAAAUCAGGUAUACUAUACGAAAGGAGGUUGCUCAAAGGUGAGAUUUUUCUCUUAAGUUUUUUUUUUUUUUUUUUUUUUUUUUUUUUUUUUUUUUUCAGUUUCAUAUUUCUCAGUCAGUUUACCAAAUUGUUAUGGCUAUGCUGCUGUAUUCACUGUUGGUCUGUCGGGAGUUCUAUUAUUAUCUAUGCUAAGGAGGUCGUAGAUAUGAUGUAGAACUUGUGAACUCAUUAGUUGUCACACCAAAUGUUCACACUUAUAAAGAUGUAUCAGCUUGUUUUGUUGGCUCUACGACCUGCUGCUCUUGGUUUGCUUCGAUUUCGCUUCCUUAUGGUUUUGAUUUUGUUUUUUUUUUUUUUUUUUUUUUUUUUUUUUUUUUUUUUUUUUUUGCUGUUCUCAAUUUGGAUCUUCGUUGCGAUUGAUGAAUUGUUGGUUGAUUUUGUUGUUGUUGUUUUAGGGUUGUCGAAUCUGGUUGUGUUAUUGGAUUGAUUUUUAAUGGAUUUACUCGUGAAUUUGUUCUAUGUUUGAGUGAUUUUUGCCAAUUGAGGUUAAUUGGAAGAAAUUAAGGGUUUCCUGAUUUCUCGAGGCUGUUUGUGGAAUUUUGGGGGAAUUGGAGAUGGAUAGGGGUUGCGGUGGUGGUUUCGUGGGUGCGGUGGUGGGUGUGGUGGUGGUUUCGUGGUUGCUGGGUUGUCAGUUUUAAUUGUGUCUAGUCAAUAUUGUUCACACAGAUAAUUAGAACUAGUUCAACUCUUGAUUGAUAGCUAUUCAGGUAUUAGUUAGACAUCGUCGAGAUUUCAUUAAUUUUGGUUCUUGUAAAUAUAUGAAAUUAGAUUGUUAUAGGAGCCAUAGUGAACUUUUUUUUUUGGAUUUUUUGUUUUGACAGAGUGAUUCUGAUGGUAAAAGGCUCAAAUCAACAGGAUCCGAAGAUGAAAAUCAGAAUCAGAGAGCUAAUAAUGAAACAACUUCUGGAAAAGGAGGUGAACAAAAGAGUAAGCCAGUGUCUGAUCCAUCAAAGGAUUAUAUUUAUGUUCGAGCAAGGAGAGGUCAAGCAACUGAUAGCCAUAGCCUUGCUGAAAGGGCUUGAAGAGAAAAGAUCAGUGAGAGGAUGAGAAUACUACAAGAUGUUGUCCCUGGGUGUAAUAAGGUUCGACCACUGCUACUUCAAUUUUUCCAUCUAUUGCUGUUGUCAUUAUUGUUAUCAUCUGAAGGGCUGAUAAACUGUCGUAUUUAUUUUUGCCAUUGACAUGAGUAUUAAUUGGACUGAAUUCUCGGUCCACUUUUCUCUUAUUGCAUCUUAUCGAUCAACUUAUCUAGUUACACUGUAAAUCCUACUAAGAUUUUUGGUAUUUGGUGGUGUUUUAAGUUUUUCGAAUAUGUUUGAAGAGGUUCAUGAUCAAUAUCCUGAUUCCUGACCAAAUACCUGGGUUUCAAGUCAUUGGCAAAGCAUUGGUACUUGAUGAGAUCAUAAAUUAUAUCCAAUCGUUACAGCGUCAAGUUGAGUUUCUCUCGAUGAAAUUAGCUGUCAAUACGAGAACUAGCCCUGGUAUUGAAGGAUUUCCCUCAAAAGAUCAGCUUGCAAGCUUCUGAUUGGCCUUAGCUUCAGAAAUUGAGGGGCAGGAGGCGAGUGUUGUCACUGAAUGCAUUCUCAAGAUUUUGGGACUUGAUAUCUGUGCUGAUACUAUGGUGAGAAAUGAAAUGAUAAGGGGUAUUUCUGGAGGACAAAGAAAACGACAUUGUAAAACUGUAUUACUCCUUUCAAGAUGCUGAAUAUUUGUAUCUGAUUACUUGCAAAGGAAUAGGAGAAAGUUGGUAAGCUAUGUGCAUCUUGUGACUACUGAGAUUGAAGCUGUAGAGUUGUUAAGUACGAAGUAUAUCUCAAGUACAAAUUGCACAAAUUGAAGAGGGGAAAACAGUGAAAUAAGGGAUUUUUUCAGAAAUUGAGCAGAGCAAUUUUUGUGGUGAGACGACGAACAAGAAAGUCUCCUUCCAAUGAAUUCGACUUUACUAUUGCUGGUAUUUUUCUAUUUCCUCCCAAUUCACCAUAUUUUCAAGCUU